AAAGCCUUAAGUUAAAAAAACUAUUAACCUUCAAAGUUAAAAAUAAAAAUUUUAGAUG
This 58-nucleotide transfer RNA is filed under the name Lithobius maqinensis. Its description in RNAcentral is "tRNA-Trp". The record is from RNAcentral. Lineage: Eukaryota; Metazoa; Arthropoda; Chilopoda; Lithobiomorpha; Lithobiidae.